Molecule: long non-coding RNA, 2093 nt
Filed under: Salmo salar (Atlantic salmon)
Lineage: Eukaryota; Metazoa; Chordata; Actinopteri; Salmoniformes; Salmonidae
Description: lncRNA (ENSSSAG00000100796.1)
Source: RNAcentral
UAGGCGAAUUAGUUUAUCUAUGUAUAAUGCUGUAUUUGAUCCCAACAUGUUUUAAAAUAAUCUACUGUACUCUGACACUAAAUAAAUGUUUGAAGAUUAUUGACAAGAGGGUUAUUUAAUGAUGAGAUUGUUUUAGAUAUCAUUUGAAAAUAUAGGCACUGUAAGCAAUGCUGAAUCUAAUUAUUUCUUUGCAAAACCUAAUUAGGCAUUAAAAAGGUUAACCCCAGCGCCUGAAACCGUUUUUGUUUAAUAAUCCCAUUACUGACGGCUCAUCAUGUAUAAAAUGGUGCUGAAAGGACACUAAGUUUCCACUUGUUUAAGUGAAUCUCAUAGAAAUAGUCGAGACAAAACACACCACUUUUGACAAGAUCUGAGAUGAGAAAGCAGGAGGACAUCGUCACAAGUUUCCUGGAAGGGUGCUGCAGUGCAUUGGAGGCCUGUCUCCGCUCUGAUAGGAGGGUGCUGCAGUGCAUUGGAGGCCUGUCUCCGCUGUGAUAGCAGCCCUGGAGCCUAGAUGAUUGAUGAAGGCGAGGGCAAGGCCGAGCGCUGGCAGCAUAAAGCCCCAUAGACGCAUCAAUAAAGCCUGGCUAGUGGAGGGCCUGGGCCUGCUCAAUAGCCACCGCCUACGAGGAUUCAGGCAAGCAAGCGGAGAGGGGAAGGUGCUCUGUUGUUCCCUAAUCCGUUUAGCCAUUGAGCCACCAGCCGUCUGAGGCUGGAUAAGUGCAGCGACGGAUGUGUGCGGGGGUGAAAAUAGCAGGGAGUGGAGGGCUGGAGAGGACCCGCGGGGGGAGAUAUAGUGGGACGCAUACAGUUCACACACAACUGAUUGAAGGAUAGAGGGAGAGGGAGAUGGAGAAAGAGGCUGAUGAUUACCCAGCUUCCUCCAGGGUAGAAGGGAAGGGUAGAGCCAGCCAUCAUGGGUUGGUGGGUGAGGGAAUAAUGGUUGGUUAGUGUGCAUUUAUUUCAUUGAUUGCAUACCGGACAGUACAGGUGUUUGUAAUUGCUUGAGUAUGUAACACAUAUUAUUUAUCUUAACAUGUUAUGACAAAGUUCAGUUCUAAUCUAACCAAAAAGGCAUAUACUCCUCAGGCAAUAUACUGGAGAAAACACAGAGGCAAAACGAGAACAUCUUGGACAAUAGUUCAAGAGUUAUUUCCCUUCAUGCACAUCUAUAAGCAAGAAUUCCAAACAGGCACCAGCUAAUCAAAAGGCCUUUUUAAAAGUAUUACACUUGCACCAAGCAACAGGAGCCCAAUUGGUCAGCCAUUGACCCCUGCUCCACAGACCCCUACCCCACUGAAGCUUAGGGAAUCCCUGUCAUUCUAAAAAUGCAUUUGUCCAGUGUGUCCACCACAGUGGCCAGCCAGACCUCAUGCAGGCCAUAGUAACUCCAGUGUACCACAUUCCUCAAUGGCACAAUUAGGCUGCAAUCAUCUCCUACCAAGCCAGCUUUUCACUGACCCCAGGCCCAGUGCAGCUACACGGUACCCUGCAGCACGGCCUGGUUGGAGAUGGAGGGAAGAGAAGGAGGGAGGGAGGAGGGAGAGUGAUGGGGCCUGUGCCCUAUGGCUCCAGUCUGCCCUAUGACACUCACUCCCAGCAGGCCUCAGAUGUUAGUAGAAUGGACAUUUCCAAUCAAAGCAAUGUCCCAUGAUAGCGGGACUAUCUGGACAUUCUAUUUCUAUGUCUCAGCUGAGCUCUCCACUGAUCCCUCUACCUCAGCCACUCUCCGACCCAUGCAAUUUCAUAAAAAGGGGCAAUUCAACCCGAAAUCCAAGUUUCUAAGAUGAUGAUGUUUCCAGUCAUUUGGGGUUGAUGUCUACAGAUUUAUCCUAAUUAAUGUAUGAUGUAGAAGGAUACAUCUGGUAUGUUUUAAAUUUUUUAAUUUGUUUAUAUCUUAGAGAGGAUGACCGUUUUGAAGAUAUGUUUUCUCGAAAAAUGUUCUAAAAACGAAUUUGUUGUGUCUGUAUUAACUACAAGUAUAUGUAGCCUAAUAAAAAUAAUUUUCAUAUAAACUGUGUAGUUAUUUUGUCAUCAUCAGCACCCUAGCUAACAAAAAAUGGCAUACCAAACCAUGUUAAAGCAGUCAUUCA